This 256-nucleotide ribosomal RNA is filed under the name uncultured bacterium. RNAcentral's name for it is "partial 16S ribosomal RNA". It matches the Rfam family "Bacterial small subunit ribosomal RNA", at positions 524 to 776 of the family's 1533-position model. The record is from RNAcentral.
UACGUAGGGUGCGAGCGUUGUCCGGAAUUAUUGGGCGUAAAGAGCUCGUAGGUGGUCCGUCACGUCGGGUGUGAAAGCCCCGGGGCUCAACCCCGGAGGGUCGGCCGAUACUGGCAAGCUAGAGUACAGAAGAGGUAGCUAGAAUUCCCGGGUGUAGCGGUGAAAUGCGUAGAUAUCGGGAGGAACACCUGAGGCGAAGGCGGGCUACUGGGCUGAGUACUGACGCUGAUGCGCGAAAGCCAGGGGAGCGAACGGG